GGCUGAAAACCUUACUGCAGCACAACUGCCUGUGGAGAAACUUACUCCUCCUUCCACGACUGCAAGAGAAUGAGCAAGAGGCCUCAGGACAGAGCUGGUGGAAGAAGACGCACUGGAGUUAUGAUCACAAUUUGGAAUACCACAAGGGUUCAACAAGCACUUCGAAGUAGACUAGAAAAUGAUGGGACUCACAGAAAACAGUCCCAUUUCAGUGCCAAGCUAUUCUCUUAGGCAGUGAGUGCUAAAGAAUCCCAUGACCAUUGGGAAACAAGUGAAUAAGGAACACAAAGCAAAAUCUUCACAGUUAAUCAAGUAAGCAAGAUACAAAAUCUCAGACCAGAUGUGCCAUAUUGCAAAAAAUGGUUGUUUUGCAGAGAAAUGACUAAACUUACUUUCAGGC
Neopsephotus bourkii (Bourke's parrot) is the source of this 400-nucleotide long non-coding RNA. RefSeq lists it as uncharacterized. NCBI's taxonomy places the organism in Eukaryota, Metazoa, Chordata, Aves, Psittaciformes, Psittacidae. The transcript is spliced from 2 exons. The record is from RefSeq and is a predicted model, not a curated record.